Molecule: ribosomal RNA, 792 nt
Filed under: uncultured Lactobacillus sp.
Lineage: Bacteria; Bacillati; Bacillota; Bacilli; Lactobacillales; Lactobacillaceae
Description: bacterial SSU rRNA
Rfam family: Bacterial small subunit ribosomal RNA
Source: RNAcentral
GAUGAACGCCGGCGGUGUGCCUAAUACAUGCAAGUCGAGCGCACUGGCCCAACUGAUAUGACGUGCUUGCACUGAAUUGACGUUGGAUUACCAGUGAGCGGCGGACGGGUGAGUAACACGUGGGCAACCUGCCCUGGAGCGGGGGAUAACAUCUGGAAACAGGUGCUAAUACCGCAUAACAACGAAAACCACAUGGUUUUCGUUUCAAAGAUGGUUUCGGCUAUCACUUCAGGAUGGGCCCGCGGUGCAUUAGCUAGUUGGUAAGGUAACGGCUUACCAAGGCAAUGAUGCAUAGCCGAGUUGAGAGACUGAUCGGCCACAAUGGAACUGAGACACGGUCCAUACUCCUACGGGAGGCAGCAGUAGGGAAUCUUCCACAAUGGGCGCAAGCCUGAUGGAGCAACACCGCGUGAGUGAAGAAGGGUUUCGGCUCGUAAAGCUCUGUUGUUGGAGAAGAACGUGCGUGAGAGUAACUGUUCACGCAGUGACGGUAUCCAACCAGAAAGUCACGGCUAACUACGUGCCAGCAGCCGCGGUAAUACGUAGGUGGCAAGCGUUAUCCGGAUUUAUUGGGCGUAAAGCGAGCGCAGGCGGUUGCUUAGGUCUGAUGUGAAAGCCUUCGGCUUAACCGAAGAAGGGCAUCGGAAACCGGGCGACUUGAGUGCAGAAGAGGACAGUGGAACUCCAUGUGUAGCGGUGGAAUGCGUAGAUAUAUGGAAGAACACCAGUGGCGAAGGCGGCUGUCUGGUCUGCAACUGACGCUGAGGCUCGAAAGCAUGGGUAGCGAACAGG